This 1441-nucleotide ribosomal RNA is filed under the name uncultured bacterium. RNAcentral's name for it is "bacterial SSU rRNA". It matches the Rfam family "Bacterial small subunit ribosomal RNA". The record is from RNAcentral.
GACGAACGCUGGCGGCGUGCUUAACACAUGCAAGUCGAACGGAAAGGCCCUUCGGGGUACUCGAGUGGCGAACGGGUGAGUAACACGUGGGUGAUCUGCCCUGCACUCUGGGAUAAGCCUGGGAAACUGGGUCUAAUACCGGAUAGGACCACACACUUCAUGGCGAGUGGUGCAAAGCUUUUGCGGUGUGGGAUGAGCCCGCGGCCUAUCAGCUUGUUGGUGGGGUAAUGGCCCACCAAGGCGACGACGGGUAGCCGGCCUGAGAGGGUGACCGGCCACACUGGGACUGAGAUACGGCCCAGACUCCUACGGGAGGCAGCAGUGGGGAAUAUUGCACAAUGGGCGCAAGCCUGAUGCAGCGACGCCGCGUGAGGGAUGACGGCCUUCGGGUUGUAAACCUCUUUCAGUAGGGACGAAGCGAAAGUGACGGUACCUACAGAAGAAGGACCGGCCAACUACGUGCCAGCAGCCGCGGUAAUACGUAGGGUCCGAGCGUUGUCCGGAAUUACUGGGCGUAAAGAGCUCGUAGGUGGUUUGUCGCGUUGUUCGUGAAAACUCACAGCUUAACUGUGGGCGUGCGGGCGAUACGGGCAGACUAGAGUACUGCAGGGGAGACUGGAAUUCCUGGUGUAGCGGUGGAAUGCGCAGAUAUCAGGAGGAAUACCGGUGGCGAAGGCGGGUCUCUGGGCAGUAACUGACGCUGAGGAGCGAAAGCGUGGGUAGCGAACAGGAUUAGAUACCCUGGUAGUCCACGCCGUAAACGGUGGGUACUAGGUGUGGGUUUCCUUCCUUGGGAUCCGUGCCGUAGCUAACGCAUUAAGUACCCCGCCUGGGGAGUACGGUCGCAAGACUAAAACUCAAAGGAAUUGACGGGGGCCCGCACAAGCGGCGGAGCAUGUGGAUUAAUUCGAUGCAACGCGAAGAACCUUACCUGGGUUUGACAUGCACAGGACGUACCUAGAGAUAGGUAUUCCCUUGUGGCCUGUGUGCAGGUGGUGCAUGGCUGUCGUCAGCUCGUGUCGUGAGAUGUUGGGUUAAGUCCCGCAACGAGCGCAACCCUUGUCCUAUGUUGCCAGCGGGUAAUGCCGGGGACUCGUAGGAGACUGCCGGGGUCAACUCGGAGGAAGGUGGGGAUGACGUCAAGUCAUCAUGCCCCUUAUGUCCAGGGCUUCACACAUGCUACAAUGGCCAGUACAGAGGGCUGCGAAGCCGCAAGGUGGAGCGAAUCCCUUAAAGCUGGUCUCAGUUCGGAUUGGGGUCUGCAACUCGACCCCAUGAAGUCGGAGUCGCUAGUAAUCGCAGAUCAGCAACGCUGCGGUGAAUACGUUCCCGGGCCUUGUACACACCGCCCGUCACGUCAUGAAAGUCGGUAACACCCGAAGCCAGUGGCCUAACCUUUUGGAGGGAGCUGUCGAAGGUGGGAUCGGCGAUUGGGACGAAG